This 67-nucleotide transfer RNA is filed under the name Notonectidae sp. MT-2014. RNAcentral's name for it is "tRNA-Arg". Lineage: Eukaryota; Metazoa; Arthropoda; Insecta; Hemiptera; Notonectidae. The record is from RNAcentral.
AGUAAUGAAGUAAAAAUUACAUAUAGUUUCGACCUAUAAAUAAGAGAAAUAUUAAUUCUCCAUACUU